This 920-nucleotide ribosomal RNA is filed under the name uncultured Bacteroidota bacterium. RNAcentral's name for it is "bacterial SSU rRNA". It matches the Rfam family "Bacterial small subunit ribosomal RNA", at positions 568 to 1503 of the family's 1533-position model. Lineage: Bacteria; Pseudomonadati; Bacteroidota. The record is from RNAcentral.
UUCCCAGGCGGAAUUUAAGUCAGUGGUGAAAGCGUAUAGCUCAACUAUAGAACUGCCAUUGAUMCUGAAAGUUCUUGAGUAUAGAUGAAGUGGGCGGAAUAUGUCAUGUAGCGGUGAAAUGCAUAGAUAUGACAUGGAACACCAAUUGCGAAGGCAGCUCACUAAACUAUUACUGACGCUCAUGAACGAAAGCAUGGGGAGCGAACAGGAUUAGAUACCCUGGUAGUCCAUGCUGUAAACUAUGAUCACUAGAUGUUGGCGAUAUAUUGUCAGUGUUUUAGAGAAAUCGUUAAGUGAUCCACCUGGGGAGUACGUUCGCAAGAAUGAAACUCAAAGGAAUUGACGGGGGCUCGCACAAGCGGUGGAGCAUGUGGUUUAAUUCGAUGAUACGCGAGGAACCUUACCAAGACUUAAAUGUAUUUUGCUAAAUUGAGAAAUCAAUUGUUCUUCGGACAAUUUACAAGGUGCUGCAUGGUUGUCGUCAGCUCGUGCCGUGAGGUGUCGGGUUAAGUCCCAUAACGAGCGCAACCCCUAUUUUUAGUUACCAGCGAAUAAUGUCGGGGGCUCUAGAAAGACUGCCUGUGUAAACAGUGAGGAAGGUGGGGAUGAUGUCAAAUCAUCACGGCCCUUAUGUCUUGGGCUACACACGUGCUACAAUGGUUACUACAGUAGGAUGCCAUCUGGUGACAGAGAGCUAAUCUAUAAAGGUAAUCUUAGUUCGGAUCGGAGUCUGCAACUCGACUCUGUGAAGUUGGAAUCGCUAGUAAUCGUAUAUCAGCAAUGAUACGGUGAAUACGUUCCCGGGCCUUGUACACACCGCCCGUCAAGCCAUGGAAGUUUGUAGUGCCUGAAGUCAGUAACCGAAAGGAUCUGCCUAGGGUAAGAUAGAUAACUAGGGCUAGUCGUAACAAGGUAGCCGU